AAAAAGACAAACAGUAAAUUUCCAUAUCCAACAUUUGACUGUCCGUCUUAUAUGAAUUUUUUUUUAUAAUUAGUAUUUUUAUUGUUGUUAGAUGAUAAAACAUGAUUAAUACUUUAUGAGUGAUUUAUCUUUUUUAGUUUUUUUCAUAGUUUUUUUAAAUAAGACGGACGGUCAAACGUUGGACACAGAAACUCAGGGUUUAUCUUUUU
RNAcentral lists this microRNA precursor (209 nucleotides) under Oryza rufipogon (brownbeard rice). RNAcentral's name for it is "MIR812 microRNA precursor family". It matches the Rfam family "MIR812 microRNA precursor family". Lineage: Eukaryota; Viridiplantae; Streptophyta; Magnoliopsida; Poales; Poaceae. The record is from Rfam by way of RNAcentral.